GACGAACGCUGGCGGCGUGCUUAACACAUGCAAGUCGAACGGAAAGGCCCUGCUUGCAGGGUACUCGAGUGGCGAACGGGUGAGUAACACGUGGGUGAUCUGCCCUGCACUUCGGGAUAGGCCUGGGAAACUGGGUCUAAUACCGGAUAGGAGCCAUUUUUAGCGUGAUGGUUGGAAAGUUUUUUCGGUGUAGGAUGAGCUCGCGGCCUAUCAGCUUGUUGGUGGGGUAAUGGCCUACCAAGGCGGCGACGGGUAGCCGGCCUGAGAGGGUGGACGGCCACAUUGGAACUGAGAGACGGCCCAGUCUCCUACGGGAGGCAGCAGUGGGGAAUAUUGCACAAUGGGCGCAAGCCUGAUGCAGCGACGCCGCGUGGGGGAUGACGGCCUUCGGGUUGUAAACUCCUUUCGCUAGAGACGAAGCUUUUGUGACGGUACCUAGAUAAGAAGCACCGGCUAACUACGUG
This 464-nucleotide ribosomal RNA is filed under the name uncultured bacterium. Its description in RNAcentral is "partial 16S ribosomal RNA". It matches the Rfam family "Bacterial small subunit ribosomal RNA", at positions 28 to 507 of the family's 1533-position model. The record is from RNAcentral.